RNAcentral lists this unclassified non-coding RNA (336 nucleotides) under soil metagenome. RNAcentral describes it as "partial contains 5.8S ribosomal RNA, internal transcribed spacer 2, and large subunit ribosomal RNA". The stretch from base 1 to 120 matches the Rfam family "5.8S ribosomal RNA", at positions 35 to 154 of the family's 154-position model. The record is from RNAcentral.
GAUGAAGAGCGCAGCGAAAUGCGAUAAGUAAUGUGAAUUGCAGAAUUCAGUGAAUCAUCGAAUCUUUGAACGCACAUUGCGCCCGCCAGUAUUCUGGCGGGCAUGCCUGUUCGAGCGUCAUUUCAACCAUCAAGCCCCAGGCUUGUGUUGGGGACCUGCGGCUGCCGCAGGCCCUGAAAACCAGUGGCGGGCUCGCUGUCACACCGGGCGUAGUAGAUUUUAUCUCGCUCAGGGCGUGCUGCGGGUUCCGGCCGUUAAAAAGCCUUUUUUACCCAAGGUUGACCUCGGAUCAGGUAGGAAGACCCGCUGAACUUAAGCAUAUCAAUAAGCGGAGGA